CUGCUAUCGGAUUGAUACUAAGCCAUGCGAGUCAUUGUAGCAAUACAAGGCAGACGGCUCAGUAACGCGUAGUCAACCUACCCUAUGGACGGGAAUAACCUCGGGAAACUGAGUAUAAUGCCCGAUAGAACAUUAUGCCUGGAAUGGUUUAUGUUCCAAAUGAUUUAUCGCCAUAGGAUGGGACUGCGGCCUAUCAGUUUGUUGGUGAGGUAAUGGCCCACCAAGACUAUUACAGGUACGGGCUCUGAGAGGAGUAGCCCGGAGAUGGGUACUGAGACACGGACCCAGGCCCUAUGGGGCGCAGCAGGCGAGAAAACUUUGCAAUGUGCGAAAGCACGACAAGGUUAAUCCGAGUGGUUUCUGCUAAAGGAACCUUUUGUUAGUCCUAAAAACACUAACGAAUAAGGGGUGGGCAAGUUCUGGUGUCAGCCGCCGCGGUAAAACCAGCACCUCAAGUGGUCAGGAUGAUUAUUGGGCCUAAAGCAUCCGUAGCCUGCUCUGUAAGUUUUCGGUUAAAUCUGUAUGCUCAACAUACAGGCCGCCGGGAAUACUGCAGAGCUAGGGAGUGGGAGAGGUAGACGGUACUCGGGAGGAAGUGGUAAAAUGCUUUGAUCUCUCGAUGACCACCUGUGGCGAAGGCGGUCUACCAGAACACGUCCGACGGUGAGGGAUGAAAGCUGGGGGAGCAAACCGGAUUAGAUACCCGGGUAGUCCCAGCUGUAAACUAUGCAAACUCAGUGAUGCAUUGGCUUGUGGCCAAUGCAGUGUUGCAGGGAAGCCGUUAAGUUUGCCGCCUGGGAAGUACGUACGCAAGUAUGAAACUUAAAGGAUUGGCGGGGAGCACCACAAGGGUGAAGCCUGCGGUUCAAUUGGA
RNAcentral lists this ribosomal RNA (874 nucleotides) under uncultured marine group I thaumarchaeote. RNAcentral's name for it is "SSU rRNA". It matches the Rfam family "Archaeal small subunit ribosomal RNA", at positions 27 to 910 of the family's 1478-position model. The record is from RNAcentral. Lineage: Archaea; Thermoproteati; Nitrososphaerota.